UCAUUGUCCUUCAUUAAAUUGCAUAUUGGAGCAUUAAAAAGAAUCUUAAUGUUAUAAAUAAGUCAUAACUCGAAUAAGUUUUAGCCACUGAUUUCUUGUUAUAAAUUAUUAACAUUGUCAAACGAAAAUUACUAAAUUUAUUGUUAACAAACGCCAUUUCCUGUCAAUCAUAAACUCUCAUUGAUUGAAGUUAUUUCUUUCAUAUUGUCAAGCAUUUAUAUCAUAGAUAUCCUGAAUGCAGGCGAUGUGCCAUUGAUUACAGAUUAAACCGUUUCGCCACUAAUGAUUAAGAUUACAUUAUAUAUCUGUGCUUAACUACAUUAGGCAUAUUUGGCUAUGGACAUACAUACACGAUGGAUUGGUUGUAAAUAUACUACUACAAAACACUUACAAUGUCAUAAUCAUCGACGGUCAAGGAGGGAACAGUGACUCAAAAAAAAUUGCCGGAUACAGUGGCUCACUCGACCUAAUUCCAACAUGAGAGAGGCUAUUUGCUUCCCUGCUAAUACAACAGAAACAUUCAGUAAUCGAACAAAUUCAAAUGGACGAGCAAUGGUUAUUCUAACACGUAAGGGUGCUACAGUGUAUAGCGAUGUUUGGGCGACUGAGCCACUGUUUGCGUUGAGCCACUGUUCCAACAUACUUUUACAAACACAAAUCCAUUUCUCUUGUAUUCAGAUAUCGCACUUUUCAGAGCCCACCUCUAUGCUAAGAGCACGCCUUUAUAGACAUAAACUCAGUAAGUUUAUACUAUAUACUGCUUCAAUGUGACUGUGGCUUAAGUAUAAAAUAGUACAUGUGGCCAACGUUUCUCAAAUAUUAUUGAUUAUAAAAUGUUAUGUAAAGUAUACACUUAAAUUGGGCAUGUGCCUAUUUAAUAAAUGGUCUAAUGAGAACAUUA
This is a long non-coding RNA of Cydia splendana, 901 nucleotides long. RefSeq lists it as uncharacterized. The record is from RefSeq and is a predicted model, not a curated record. NCBI's taxonomy places the organism in Eukaryota, Metazoa, Arthropoda, Insecta, Lepidoptera, Tortricidae. The transcript is spliced from 2 exons.